Astatotilapia calliptera (eastern happy) is the source of this 3034-nucleotide long non-coding RNA. The record is from Ensembl. Lineage: Eukaryota; Metazoa; Chordata; Actinopteri; Cichliformes; Cichlidae.
AAACGGUUUUUGAUCAAGCUAGGCUAGACUGACGAUAGAUCAAUAUAUAUCUGAAAGUAUUUGGGGGUUUUUUCAUCCCAGCGUCUCUUUUGCUCCCGAAGACCCCAUUUGCACAGCAGGUGAAAUCAUGGAUGGUUUGCUUAAGGAAAUAAGAAGCAAGGACCAAGCAGCCGCCUCUGUACUGGAACAGGCGGAUUUACGCAGUGACUCAGAUCUCCAGUCACUGACUUUACAAGACCUGGGUUUGCUGUUCCCUGGAGUUAAAAAUGUCAAACUGAGAAGGGAUAUCUUUGAUAUAAUACACAAGCAGAAAUCAAUUGGUGAGCUCAUAGAAAAAUCCAAGCACUUCAUCCCACAUGACUCUCUCAGGGCUGCCUUAACUGAAAAUGGAGUUUUGGUCGACUACCUGAAAAUGUUGAAGGAAAUGAAGACCCAAAUGAAUAAAGAUUUCCUUGAUCCGCAUAUCAAUCUACUGGAGGACUUCAGGAAAUCUCAACCAUCGCAGGACCAGGACAAAGGUUUUUAAUCCAGUUUUUUUAAGCCUAAUAUUAACGUGUCUUAAUUUCAUGAGUGCAGAUUCAAAGCUUUUACAGAGGGUAGCAAACUUCAACUUAAUGUAGGUAAAGCUUUUUAUCUCAUCCAGUCCAUUUAUGCUGAAUAUGCAUAAGCCAUGUCUUUGAUAUUGAAUAGACACAAUAUCUGACCACAGCUCAGGCUUGUUUGCUUUUACAUCUACUUUUACAUGAAUCCACAGAAUGGAAAUAACAGAGACAUGAAGUCUCAGUUGACAUGUCAUUCUCUCAAUGUAACGGACAGAUUAACAGGCAUCCAUUUUUUUAGUCAAUAAUGGGCCCUUGCUGCUCCAACAUGACUGCACACCAAUGCACCAAGCAAAGUCCAUAAAGUCAUCAAUUAGCCACUUUGGUGUGGAAGAACUUGACUGGUCUGCGCAGAGUUCUGACCUCAACCCGACACAACAACUUUGGGAUUAAUUAGAGUGGAGACUGGGAAUCAGGCCUUCUCGUCAACAUCAACGUCUGACUUCACAAAUUCCCAUGAACACUAACCCUUGUGGGUUAAUUCUGAAAUGAUGGGCGUUUUGUGAUCAGCUUGGCUAGACUGACAACACGAUCAACAAUAUCUACAGCUAAAAGUGUUUGGGGGUUUUUUUUGGGGGGGGGGGGGGGGGGGGUUUCAUCCCAGCAUCUUCUCUUUUGCUCCUGCAGGCCCAGCUUGUAGAGCAGGUCUGUUUCCACAUUGUUCAGAUGUUAUGUCAAUCCAACAGGAGAACAGAAACAGGAACUAUACAGUAUGAGAAAUGUCCAACCUCCGUUUUCUCUGAUUUUUUCUUCUUUUCUGCAGGUGAAAUCAUGGAUAUUUUGCUUAAGGAAAUAAGACGCAAGGAUGAAGUGGCAGCCAAUAAACUGGAAGAGGAAGGUUUGAGAGCUGACUCAGAUCUCCAGUUACUGACUUUACAAGACCUGGGUUUGCUGUUACCUGGAGUUGAAAAUGUCAAACGGAUAAGGGAAAUCUUUGAUAUAAUACACAAGCAGAAACCAAUUGGUGUGCUCAUAGAAAAAUUCAAGGACUUCAUCCCACAUGAAUCUUUCAGGGCUGCCUUAACUGAAAAUGGAGUUUUGGUUGACUACCUGAAAAUGUUGAAGGAAAUGAAGAUCCAAUUGAAUAAAGUGCAAGAUUUCCUUGAUGCACAUAUCAAUCUACUGGAGGACCUCAGGAAAUCUCAACCAUUGCAGAACCAGGACAAAGGUUCUUCGUCAAGUGGUCCAGUGAAGCGCCACAAUAGCCAAACCAGUGACCCUCCACAAAUGCAACAAGAGGAAAACGUUUUGCAUAAAGAAAAAAGACACAAGGAUGAAAAAGCAGCAGGUUCUUCGUCAAGUAGUGAGAAUAGCCAAACUAGUGACCUUCCAGAAAUACAACAAGCCACACUGAAGUACAAGAUGGUGAUAAGUGGAAAAACCUUUAAUGCCCAUCAACAGAUACUGGAAAAAGUAAAGGCUUUAAAUGAGGAUCCAGAUUUGAAUUUGAUCGAACAGGAAGACAGCAAUCAGGAUUGCCAGGCCAUUAUUGUCUUCUGUCCCAUUGUUUCACGUAUGGGGACAGAUAUUGAUGCAGCCAUGACGCAAGUCAAAGGUUCUCAGCCUGUCAUUCUGGUUUUGAUGCAUCACGCACAUGAACCCAAGCAUGUAACUUUAAUGAAAAUACAGAAUAAUGUUUCUAAUGUUGUGUUACCUUUCCAUGUUUUCUACCAUGAGACAGUGCAUGGAUUGUUGCAGUGUCAGCAAAAUAACGAUGCCAUUUCUGAAAUUCGAAAGGCAUUACUGAAGCACGCAGAUAUCCAGACAAUUAAAGAUACAAGUGGAAAGACACAGAAUGUAGCUGCUAAAAGUAGUAAUCGUGGUGGGAGUUUUAUUUUUCGUUUUUGGUAAAUAAUGAUAGUGUAAAUUCAGAUAUUACAAGUCAAAGAAACUGUAUAUAUAUCCCAUGCAUUACUCUUUUGUAAUCUAAUUUUUUUUGCGCUGUAUCACUUCAGUAGUGUAGAUUGCUCUGACCAUUUGAGUAGGAAGCGAAAAUUUUAUGGUUUUGAUCAUGCAAAAUAAUUAUUUUGUACAUUGUGAAACAAAAGGACAGCACAGAAUCGUCUUUGUGACCUUUAUUUCAGUACUUUAAGAUAUUUCAGCUGUAAGGGUAGUUGCAGAGUCAACAGGUGUGAUCAUGAAGUGUCAAAGAAGAGGUCAGAGACACAGUAUAUGGGUGUAGAUAGUCAUAAAACUACUUUCAACUGUACCAACUGCUGUUUAUCUCUAAAAACAAAAGUGACAGCUACAGCUGUAUGUACACAGUGACAUCGUAAGUCCUUUGAUCAUUAAGAUAAAUAAUAAAUAUAUUUAUAUCAAAGUCAAACAUAUUGUGAUUAGUUUCACGGUUGCUAUGUAAAUCUGCAAGUUAUUUUCAUCUUUCAGAAAAAAAAAAUCAAGCCAAUGUUUAAAAUUGUGAAUAAAAAUGUAAAAAA